CCGACCUUAGCUCAGUUGGAAGAGCGCGAGACUGUAACGGAUACAAAAAGAUCAUCUUGAGGUCGCCUGUUCGAGCCAGGCAGGUCGGA
Paxillus involutus ATCC 200175 is the source of this 89-nucleotide transfer RNA. It matches the Rfam family "tRNA". From Rfam's summary of the family: Transfer RNA (tRNA) molecules are approximately 80 nucleotides in length. Their secondary structure includes four short double-helical elements and three loops (D, anti-codon, and T loops). Further hydrogen bonds mediate the characteristic L-shaped molecular structure. tRNAs have two regions of fundamental functional importance: the anti-codon, which is responsible for specific mRNA codon recognition, and the 3' end, to which the tRNAs corresponding amino acid is attached (by aminoacyl-tRNA synthetases). tRNAs cope with the degeneracy of the genetic code in two manners: having more than one tRNA (with a specific anti-codon) for a particular amino acid; and 'wobble' base-pairing, i.e. permitting non-standard base-pairing at the 3rd anti-codon position. NCBI's taxonomy places the organism in Eukaryota, Fungi, Basidiomycota, Agaricomycetes, Boletales, Paxillaceae. The record is from Rfam.